GUCCAUGCCGUAAACGAUGAAUGCUAAGUGUUGGAGGGUUUCCGCCCUUCAGUGCUGCAGCUAACGCAUUAAGCAUUACGCCUGGGGAGUACGACCGCAAGGUUGAAACUCAAAGGAAUUGACGGGGGGCCCGCACAAGCGGUGGAGCAUGUGGUUUAAUUCGAAGCUACGCGAAGAACCUUACCAGGUCUUGACAUCUUCUGCCAACCUAAGAGAUUAGGCGUUCCCUUCGGGGACAGAAUGACAGGUGGUGCAUGGUUGUCGU
This 265-nucleotide ribosomal RNA is filed under the name uncultured bacterium. RNAcentral describes it as "partial 16S ribosomal RNA". It matches the Rfam family "Bacterial small subunit ribosomal RNA", at positions 793 to 1055 of the family's 1533-position model. The record is from RNAcentral.